GAUGAACGCUGGCGGCGUGCCUAAUACAUGCAAGUAGAACGCUGAAGCUUGGUGCUUGCACCGAGCAGAUGAGUUGCGAACGGGUGAGUAACGCGUAGGUAACCUGCCUCUUAGCGGGGGAUAACUAUUGGAAACGAUAGCUAAUACCGCAUAAAAGUCGAUAUCGCAUGAUAUUGAUUUGAAAGGUGCAAUUGCAUCACUAAGAGAUGGACCUGCGUUGUAUUAGCUAGUUGGUGAGGUAACGGCUCACCAAGGCGACGAUACAUAGCCGACCUGAGAGGGUGAUCGGCCACACUGGGACUGAGACACGGCCCAGACUCCUACGGGAGGCAGCAGUAGGGAAUCUUCGGCAAUGGGGGCAACCCUGACCGAGCAACGCCGCGUGAGUGAAGAAGGUUUUCGGAUCGUAAAGCUCUGUUGUAAGAGAAGAACGAGUGUGAGAGUGGAAAGUUCACACUGUGACGGUAACUUACCAGAAAGGGACGGCUAACUACGUGCCAGCAGCCGCGGUAAUACGUAGGUCCCGAGCGUUAUCCGGAUUUAUUGGGCGUAAAGCGAGCGCAGGCGGUUAGAUAAGUCUGAAGUUAAAGGCUGUGGCUUAACCAUAGUACGCUUUGGAAACUGUUUAACUUGAGUGCAGAAGGGGAGAGUGGAAUUCCAUGUGUAGCGGUGAAAUGCGUAGAUAUAUGGAGGAACACCGGUGGCGAAAGCGGCUCUCUGGUCUGUAACUGACGCUGAGGCUCGAAAGCGUGGGGAGCAAACAGG
This 765-nucleotide ribosomal RNA is filed under the name uncultured Streptococcus sp. RNAcentral's name for it is "bacterial SSU rRNA". It matches the Rfam family "Bacterial small subunit ribosomal RNA", at positions 28 to 776 of the family's 1533-position model. Lineage: Bacteria; Bacillati; Bacillota; Bacilli; Lactobacillales; Streptococcaceae. The record is from RNAcentral.